RNAcentral lists this ribosomal RNA (253 nucleotides) under uncultured bacterium. Its description in RNAcentral is "partial 16S ribosomal RNA". It matches the Rfam family "Bacterial small subunit ribosomal RNA", at positions 524 to 776 of the family's 1533-position model. The record is from RNAcentral.
UACAGAGGGGGCGAGCGUUGUUCGGAAUUACUGGGCGUAAAGGGCGCGUAGGCGACCCGCUAAGUCGAACGUGAAAUCCCCAGGCUCAACCUGGGAACUGCGUCCGAUACUGGCAGGCUUGAAUCCGGGAGAGGGAUGUGGAAUUCCAGGUGUAGCGGUGAAAUGCGUAGAUAUCUGGAGGAACACCGGUGGCGAAGGCGGCAUCCUGGACCGGUAUUGACGCUGAGGCGCGAAAGCUAGGGGAGCAAACGGG